RNAcentral lists this long non-coding RNA (246 nucleotides) under Lathyrus oleraceus (garden pea). Its description in RNAcentral is "Pisum sativum (pea) long non-coding RNA (PSAT_LNC010729)". The record is from RNAcentral. Lineage: Eukaryota; Viridiplantae; Streptophyta; Magnoliopsida; Fabales; Fabaceae.
UUCUUUUGUUUCUCUAGGUAGGUUCCACAUUCAGCUCUAAUGUGUCCAUACCCAUCACAUUCAUGGCACUGAACUCCUUUUCCUUCUUUGGACUUUUCAUCAAAUCUUGUUCUUCUUCCAGCAUUAUUGGACUUACUGAUGUCAGAUGAGAUGUUCUUGACAUUAGACUUAGACCUUACAUCCAUAUUUUUCAGAAGUUUGUUGAACUAUCUUCCCAGUAAUGCUACAUCAUAUGCGAGAUCUUCA